This 253-nucleotide ribosomal RNA is filed under the name uncultured bacterium. RNAcentral's name for it is "partial 16S ribosomal RNA". It matches the Rfam family "Bacterial small subunit ribosomal RNA", at positions 524 to 776 of the family's 1533-position model. The record is from RNAcentral.
UACGUAGGGUGCAAGCGUUGUCCGGAAUUAUUGGGCGUAAAGAGCUCGUAGGCGGUCUGUCGCGUCUGGUGUGAAAAUCCAGGGCUUAACCCUGGACCUGCAUCGGGUACGGGCAGACUAGAGUGCGGUAGGGGAGAUCGGAAUUCCUGGUGUAGCGGUGAAAUGCGUAGAUAUUGGGAGGAACACCGGUGGCGAAGGCGGCCCUCUGGACCGGUACUGACGCUGAUGCGCGAAAGCGUGGGGAGCAAACGGG